AGCCGCUUGCCCUCUACCUUCGUGUCGACUCCGCCGGAAAACCCAGAUCUGAAGCGUUGCCUCGCCGUUCGUGACCCGGCACCGUCAUUUUCUCAGUCAGCUGGAUCCGCCUCCCACCAGCGAUGCGCCGCUCGACGACGAGCUUCAAAUGCCCGCCUUCCUCUCUCUGACCCACGAAUCUAUAGCUUGCUGCCUCUGGUUGCGAGCCGCUGCUGCCUAGGUUGUGCGACUCCACUCCGACACCACCGUCAAGCAGGAUGUCGUCGCCACUCACUGGAUCUACUAGUUUGGAUACAAAGUUUGGAGGCAUUUUAAAGUCUUUUGAGUGCUACCGACAAGAUUAUGAAUUUCGUCAAUUUUGGUUCAGUUUGGACAAAUAAAUAGAACUUUGGAAAUGGCCUCGAACCAAGUCGUGACUUCGGGUGGAUUCAAAGUCUUCCAAGAGUUGUAAGAAGGUUAAUUACUUGGGUUAAUUUGGGACCAAAUUUGAGGUAAGGGUAGAGAUGCGCCGGCGAUGGCAUAACGGAAUUCAUGACCAAGCCACUGGGACUAGUUUUUACGCUUCCGCAUCAUGAGAUUUAGAGUUCUUUUCAUGUUUCCCUUCAUGUUUAGUUUUGAUGUUUGAAACUUAUUAUUAAGAAUUAUUUUUCAUAUGUAUUUAUUA
Molecule: long non-coding RNA, 664 nt
Organism: Benincasa hispida (wax gourd)
Lineage: Eukaryota; Viridiplantae; Streptophyta; Magnoliopsida; Cucurbitales; Cucurbitaceae
Source: RefSeq, a predicted model, not a curated record